Molecule: long non-coding RNA, 489 nt
Organism: Cryptotermes secundus
Lineage: Eukaryota; Metazoa; Arthropoda; Insecta; Blattodea; Kalotermitidae
Exons: 4
Source: RefSeq, a predicted model, not a curated record
CAGCAUGGCCGCCCCGGGAGCUUUCCGGCGAGCGGAGGGUCUGUGUGCAACUGCUGAGUAAGGUGCUGGGAAUCUGCCUGGACACAUGGGCCAUCAAGACUCGACAGAUUGAGCGUAUUUCCGGGCCGCGUUCUCGUACGGUACGCUCGGCCGUGUCUCUCCUCCCCGGUCCGUCAAACAUCCGUCUUCUUCCGCUCGUUCGGAAAGUAGGUCGUCUCCGUCAUGUUGUUAUUCAAUAUGGCCGCUACCUUCUGCUCUCAUCGUGACUUCCAACUGACGAAGGACGAGGUGAAGAAAUCUCAACGUAGGACAACAAAAGUGCCCAUUUGCAAGAGCGAAGACUUUAGCCUACUACAUCCAUGGCCGCCGUAGCUGUGCGAGAAAUGGAAGGAUUUUACAGCGAAAUUUGUCACAGUGUAGGAAACCAGCCCAACUGAUGAUCAUAUUGGAUUUCGUGCGUUCUCAUCUGUAAGGUCUGAGCCCAAAGGU